RNAcentral lists this ribosomal RNA (440 nucleotides) under uncultured bacterium. RNAcentral's name for it is "partial 16S ribosomal RNA". It matches the Rfam family "Bacterial small subunit ribosomal RNA", at positions 338 to 795 of the family's 1533-position model. The record is from RNAcentral.
CCUACGGGCGGCAGCAGUGGGGAAUAUUGCACAAUGGGGGAAACCCUGAUGCAGCAACGCCGCGUGAGUGAAGACGUAUUUCGGUAUGUAAAGCUCUAUCAGCAGGGAAGAAGAUGACGGUACCUGCGUAAGAAGCCCCGGCUAACUACGUGCAAGCAGCCGCGGUAAUACGUAGGGGGCCAGCGUUAUCCGGAUUUACUGGGGGUAAAGGGAGCGCAGACGGUGAGACAAGUCUGAAGUGAAAGCCCGGGGCUCAACCCCGGGACUGCUUUGGAAACUGCCUGACUGGAGUGCAGGAGAGGCAAGCGGAAUUCGUAGUGUAGCGGUGAAAUGCGUAGAUAUUAGGAAGAACACCAGUGGCGAAGGCGGCUUGCUGGACAGUAACUGACGUUGAGGCUCGAAAGCGUGGGGAGCAAACAGGAUUAGAUACCCUAGUAGUC